AUCCUUUUCUGGUUUAUAAGCAUGACGAUCGGGUUUUCACACACCUGAGUGAUGAUAUGUGCCUCUCUUCAACCUUGUUACGACGUCAACACAUGACCCUUCUGACA
Small nucleolar RNA from Suncus etruscus (white-toothed pygmy shrew), 107 nucleotides. RefSeq annotates it as small nucleolar RNA U13. The record is from RefSeq and is a predicted model, not a curated record. Lineage: Eukaryota; Metazoa; Chordata; Mammalia; Eulipotyphla; Soricidae. The transcript has a single exon.